This 429-nucleotide ribosomal RNA is filed under the name Fusobacteriota bacterium. RNAcentral's name for it is "Fusobacteria bacterium partial 16S ribosomal RNA". It matches the Rfam family "Bacterial small subunit ribosomal RNA", at positions 355 to 776 of the family's 1533-position model. Lineage: Bacteria; Fusobacteriati; Fusobacteriota. The record is from RNAcentral.
UGGGGAAUCUUCCGCAAUGGACGAAAGUCUGACGGAGCAACGCCGCGUGAGUGAAGACGGCCUUCGGGUUGUAAAGCUCUGUUAUUCGGGAAGAACGAUUCGUUUGUGAACAAUGAACGGAAGUGACGGUACCGAAAGAGAAAGCCACGGCUAACUACGUGCCAGCAGCCGCGGUAAUACGUAGGUGGCAAGCGUUGUCCGGAAUUAUUGGGCGUAAAGAGCGCGUAGGCGGUAUGGUAAGUCUGUCUUAGAAGUGCGGGGCUUAACCCCGUGAGGGGACAGAGACUGUCAUACUGGAGUUUCGGAGAGGAAAGCGGAAUUCCUAGUGUAGCGGUGAAAUGCGUAGAGAUUAGGAAGAACACCGGUGGCGAAGGCGGCUUUCUGGACGAGCACUGACGCUGAGGCGCGAAAGCGUGGGGAGCGAACAGG